This 40-nucleotide ribosomal RNA is filed under the name Gomphidius flavipes. RNAcentral's name for it is "partial 5.8S ribosomal RNA". The record is from RNAcentral. Lineage: Eukaryota; Fungi; Basidiomycota; Agaricomycetes; Boletales; Gomphidiaceae.
CAACUUUCAGCAAUGGAUCUCUUGGCUCUCGCAUCGAUGA